CUCGUAAAAGUCUUCUGUUUGGCCUAUAGGCCAAGAUAUGCAACAUAAAUACGGGAUUCAAACUUGUUCCAACUGCUGUCAAACUUGAAGGCUGAGCCACAUCCACUUCAAGGCAUUUUCUUUUAAUGGGUGGCAAGAUUUUUCCAAAUGAAUUUGAAGAAUUCUUGUUCGAAUCUACUGAUUUGGGAAUUCAAGUAGUUCGUGAGUCAUCUUUAUGCAUUGGCUCUUCAUAAAAUAAUUAGAGACUCUAUCUUAACAUCUAUUGUAGUUGGUGAUAUAAAGAAACCAUAUCUACGCAGAAAAUCAAAACCAUUAGCAAGCACAACAAAUCAGAAAGGUAAACUUAAGAAGAACAACAAGCACAAUAUGAUAAAUAAUCUCUCUCUCUCUCUCUUUCUCUCUUUUUCUUCUUUUUUUGAGACUUUUACACACAAGAAAUCAAGAACAAAAGUUGAACUCCACAGCAAAUGAAAACAAAGUCCAUAGCAAAUUCACCUUAAACCACCAAAAAUCAGGACCUAUUGCAAGUCAUUGGACUUUUUAUAGUCGGAAUCAAAAUUCAUUGUUUCAAUCAAUACAACCAAUUGUUGAAUUUGGUUUGGGUAAAGGUUAGGGUUUAUCGUUGGGAUUUUGAUUUGGGUAAUUUUGUGUUUUAAUUUGGGGAUUUUUUAGUUAAAGGUUUAUUAGAAGUGUGUUUCACAAAUUCAACAAAGGUUGUCAUUUUGAUUGAGUGCGUUUCUUAUCCAAGUGGACAAAUUAAAAGUGUUAAGUUUCCAUAACAGCUUUCCAUUAGACAGUGGCAUUUUCUAACAAUUAUAGAUAACAAAUUUAAAAGGUGUAAUGGAUGGGUA
Molecule: long non-coding RNA, 851 nt
Filed under: Olea europaea subsp. europaea
Lineage: Eukaryota; Viridiplantae; Streptophyta; Magnoliopsida; Lamiales; Oleaceae
Source: RNAcentral